AUCCCUUGCUGUGGUAUAUGGCUUUUUAUUCCUAUGUGAUUUGUUUCAUAGCUCAUGUAGGGCUGAAAGCCAUUUAUUGCACAGGGGAUG
This is a non-coding RNA of Pelobates cultripes (western spadefoot toad), 90 nucleotides long. Lineage: Eukaryota; Metazoa; Chordata; Amphibia; Anura; Pelobatidae. The record is from the annotation of a GenBank genome assembly.